AGAUAUUGGGGUUUAGAUAUAUUGUGCCCAGUGGGCCACUUUUGGUAAGCAGAACUGGCGCUGUGGGAUGAACCAAACAUGAUGUUACGGCGCCUAAAUUAAUGACUCAUAUUGAUACCAUGAAAGGCGUUGGUUGCUUAAAACAGCAGGACGGUGGACAUGGAAGUCGUAAUCCGCUAAGGAGUGUGUAACAACUCACCUGCCGAAGCAACUAGCCCUUAAAAUGGAUGGCGCUCAAGUCAUAUGCCUAUACAUCAUCGCUAGAAUAAAAAUUGUUGACUUUCGGGUCAUCAAUAUGAAAUUCUAGUGAGUAGGAGGGUACAAUGGUGUGCGCGGAAGUGUUUGGCGUGAGCCUGCAUGAAGCCGCCAUUGGCACAGAUCUUGGUGGUAGUAGCAAAUAAUCGAAUGAGAUCUUGGAGGACUGAAGUGGAGAAGGGUUUCGUGUGAACAGUGGUUGAUCACGAGUUAGUCGGUCCUAAGCUUUAUGCGAAAGCUGUUUAAUUUAUGUUACAUACACAUUUAUUUUUGUUGUACAUAAUUCAAUAAAAGCGAAAGGGAAUACGGUUCCAAUUCCGUAACCUGUUGAGUAUACGUUUGUUUAUUAAAAAUGGGUCUUAUUACACUCAUCCUGGCAACAGGAACGACCAUAGAGAAGCCUUCGAGAGAUACUGGAAGAGUUUUCUUUUCUGCUAAACAAACGUAUCACCAUGGAAGUCUUUUAUAGAGAGAUAUGGUGAAUGGCUUGGAAGAGCAUGACAUUUACUGUUGUGUCAGUAUUUUCUCCUUGGACCUUGAAAAUCUAUGGUGGGGCCACGCAAACUUUCUCAACAGACCGUACCGAUAUCCGCAGCCGGUCUCCAAGGUGAAGAGUCUCUAGUCGAUAGAAUA
This 888-nucleotide ribosomal RNA is filed under the name Pseudolycoriella tewaipounamu. Its description in RNAcentral is "partial large subunit ribosomal RNA". It matches the Rfam family "Eukaryotic large subunit ribosomal RNA", at positions 1096 to 1897 of the family's 3401-position model. Lineage: Eukaryota; Metazoa; Arthropoda; Insecta; Diptera; Sciaridae. The record is from RNAcentral.